Molecule: ribosomal RNA, 495 nt
Filed under: uncultured bacterium
Lineage: Bacteria
Description: partial 16S ribosomal RNA
Rfam family: Bacterial small subunit ribosomal RNA
Source: RNAcentral
GACGAACGCUGGCGGCGUGCCUAAUACAUGCAAGUCGAACGCUGAAGGAGGAGCUUGCUUCUCCGGAUGAGUUGCGAACGGGUGAGUAACGCGUAGGUAACCUGCCUGGUAGCGGGGGAUAACUAUUGGAAACGAUAGCUAAUACCGCAUAACAGUAGAUGUUGCAUGACAUUUGCUUAAAAGGUGCAAUUGCAUCACUACCAGAUGGACCUGCGUUGUAUUAGCUAGUUGGUGAGGUAACGGCUCACCAAGGCGACGAUACAUAGCCGACCUGAGAGGGGGAUCGGCCACACUGGGACUGAGACACGGCCCAGACUCCUACGGGAGGCAGCAGUAGGGAAUCUUCGGCAAUGGACGGAAGUCUGACCGAGCAACGCCGCGUGAGUGAAGAAGGUUUUCGGAUCGUAAAGCUCUGUUGUAAGAGAAGAACGAGUGUGAGAGUGGAAAGUUCACACUGUGACGGUAGCUUACCAGAAAGGGACGGCUAACUACGUG